GGGUUGUGAGGUUAAGCGACUAAGCGUACACGGUGGAUGCCCUGGCAGUCAGAGGCGAUGAAGGACGUGCUAAUCUGCGAAAAGCGUCGGUAAGGUGAUAUGAACCGUUAUAACCGGCGAUGUCCGAAUGGGGAAACCCAGUGUGAUUCGUCACACUAUCGUUAACUGAAUACAUAGGUUAACGAGGCGAACCGGGGGAACUGAAACAUCUAAGUACCCCGAGGAAAAGAAAUCAACCGAGAUUCCCCCAGUAGCGGCGAGCGAACGGGGAGCAGCCCAGAGUCUGAAUCAGCUUGUGUGUUAGUGGAACGGUCUGGAAAGUCCGACGGUACAGGGUGAUAGUCCCGUACACCAAAAUGCACAGGCUGUGAACUCGAAGAGUAGGGCGGGACACGUGGUAUCCUGUCUGAAUAUGGGGGGACCAUCCUCCAAGGCUAAAUACUCCUGACUGACCGAUAGUGAACCAGUACCGUGAGGGAAAGGCGAAAAGAACCCCGGCGAGGGGAGUGAAAAAGAACCUGAAACCGUGUACGUACAAGCAGUGGGAGCACCUUCGGGUGUGACUGCGUACCUUUUGUAUAAUGGGUCAGCGACUUAUAUUCUGUAGCAAGGUUAACCGUAUAGGGGAGCCGCAGGGAAACCGAGUCUUAACUGGGCGUUAAGUUGCAGGGUAUAGACCCGAAACCCGGUGAUCUAGCCAUGGGCAGGUUGAAGGUUGGGUAACACUAACUGGAGGACCGAACCGACUAAUGUUGAAAAAUUAGCGGAUGACUUGUGGCUGGGGGUGAAAGGCCAAUCAAACCGGGAGAUAGCUGGUUCUCCCCGAAAGCUAUUUAGGUAGCGCCUCGUGAAUUCAUCUUCGGGGGUAGAGCACUGUUUCGGCUAGGGGGUCAUCCCGACUUACCAACCCGAUGCAAACUACGAAUACCGAAGAAUGUUAUCACGGGAGACACACGGCGGGUGCUAACGUCCGUCGUGAAGAGGGAAACAACCCAGACCGCCAGCUAAGGUCCCAAAGUCAUGGUUAAGUGGGAAACGAUGUGGGAAGGCACAGACAGCCAGGAUGUUGGCUUAGAAGCAGCCAUCAUUUAAAGAAAGCGUAAUAGCUCACUGGUCGAGUCGGCCUGCGCGGAAGAUGUAACGGGGCUAAACCAUGCACCGAAGCUGCGGCAGCGACACUAUGUGUUGUUGGGUAGGGGAGCGUUCUGUAAGCCUGCGAAGGUGUGCUGUGAGGCAUGCUGGAGGUAUCAGAAGUGCGAAUGCUGACAUAAGUAACGAUAAAGCGGGUGAAAAGCCCGCUCGCCGGAAGACCAAGGGUUCCUGUCCAACGUUAAUCGGGGCAGGGUGAGUCGACCCCUAAGGCGAGGCCGAAAGGCGUAGUCGAUGGGAAACAGGUUAAUAUUCCUGUACUUGGUGUUACUGCGAAGGGGGACGGAGAAGGCUAUGUUAGCCGGGCGACGGUUGUCCCGGUUUAAGCAUGUAGGCUGGUUGUCCAGGCAAAUCCGGAUAAUCAAGGCUGAGGUGUGAUGACGAGGCACUACGGUGCUGAAGUAACAAAUGCCCUGCUUCCAGGAAAAGCCUCUAAGCAUCAGGUAACAUCAAAUCGUACCCCAAACCGACACAGGUGGUCAGGUAGAGAAUACCAAGGCGCUUGAGAGAACUCGGGUGAAGGAACUAGGCAAAAUGGUGCCGUAACUUCGGGAGAAGGCACGCUGGUGUGUAGGUGAAGUCCCUGCGGAUGGAGCUGAGACCAGUCGAAGAUACCAGCUGGCUGCAACUGUUUAUUAAAAACACAGCACUGUGCAAACACGAAAGUGGACGUAUACGGUGUGACGCCUGCCCGGUGCCGGAAGGUUAAUUGAUGGGGUUAUCCGUAAGGAGAAGCUCUUGAUCGAAGCCCCGGUAAACGGCGGCCGUAACUAUAACGGUCCUAAGGUAGCGAAAUUCCUUGUCGGGUAAGUUCCGACCUGCACGAAUGGCGUAAUGAUGGCCAGGCUGUCUCCACCCGAGACUCAGUGAAAUUGAACUCGCUGUGAAGAUGCAGUGUACCCGCGGCAAGACGGAAAGACCCCGUGAACCUUUACUAUAGCUUGACACUGAACAUUGAGCCUUGAUGUGUAGGAUAGGUGGGAGGCUUUGAAGCGUGGACGCCAGUCUGCGUGGAGCCAACCUUGAAAUACCACCCUUUAAUGUUUGAUGUUCUAACGUUGGCCCCUUACCGGGGUUGCGGACAGUGUCUGGUGGGUAGUUUGACUGGGGCGGUCUCCUCCCAAAGCGUAACGGAGGAGCACGAAGGUUAGCUAAUCCUGGUCGGACAUCAGGAGGUUAGUGCAAUGGCAUAAGCUAGCUUGACUGCGAGCGUGACGGCGCGAGCAGGUGCGAAAGCAGGUCAUAGUGAUCCGGUGGUUCUGAAUGGAAGGGCCAUCGCUCAACGGAUAAAAGGUACUCCGGGGAUAACAGGCUGAUACCGCCCAAGAGUUCAUAUCGACGGCGGUGUUUGGCACCUCGAUGUCGGCUCAUCACAUCCUGGGGCUGAAGUAGGUCCCAAGGGUAUGGCUGUUCGCCAUUUAAAGUGGUACGCGAGCUGGGUUUAGAACGUCGUGAGACAGUUCGGUCCCUAUCUGCCGUGGGCGCUGGAGAAUUGAGGGGGGCUGCUCCUAGUACGAGAGGACCGGAGUGGACGCAUCACUGGUGUUCGGGUUGUCAUGCCAAUGGCACUGCCCGGUAGCUAAAUGCGGAAGAGAUAAGUGCUGAAAGCAUCUAAGCACGAAACUUGCCCCGAGAUGAGUUCUCCCUGAGACUUUAAGUCUCCUGAAGGAACGUUGAAGACGACGACGUUGAUAGGCCGGGUGUGUAAGCGCAGCGAUGCGUUGAGCUAACCGGUACUAAUGAACCGUGAGGCUUAACCUUACAACGCCGAAG
RNAcentral lists this ribosomal RNA (2922 nucleotides) under Klebsiella pneumoniae. Its description in RNAcentral is "bacterial LSU rRNA". It matches the Rfam family "Bacterial large subunit ribosomal RNA". The record is from RNAcentral. Lineage: Bacteria; Pseudomonadati; Pseudomonadota; Gammaproteobacteria; Enterobacterales; Enterobacteriaceae.